RNAcentral lists this non-coding RNA (23 nucleotides) under Gallus gallus (chicken). Lineage: Eukaryota; Metazoa; Chordata; Aves; Galliformes; Phasianidae. RNAcentral also lists the same sequence under 2 other names. The record is from RNAcentral.
UCACAGUGAACCGGUCUCUUUUU